AGACAAUGGGCGAAAGCCUGAUCUAGCAACGCCGCGUGGGCGAUGAAGGCCUUCGGGUUGUAAAGCCCUUUUCUGCGGGAAGAGCGAAGGACGGUACCGCAGGAAUAAGUCUCGGCUAACUACGUGCCAGCAGCAGCGGUAAUACGUAGGAGACGAGCGUUAUCCGGAUUUACUGGGUGGAAAGCGCAUGUAGGCGGGUUCCCAGGUCGAGAAUGAAAUCUCCCGGCUCAACCGGGAGGGGCGGUUGGAUACUAGGAGUCUUGAGGGCAGGAGAGAGAAGCAGAAUUCCCGGUGUAGUGGUGGAAUACGUAGAUAUCGGGAGGAAUACCAGUGGCGAAGGCGGCUUCCUGGCCUGUUUCUAACGCUGAGAUGCGAAAGCGUGGGGAGCG
This 389-nucleotide ribosomal RNA is filed under the name uncultured bacterium. RNAcentral describes it as "bacterial SSU rRNA". It matches the Rfam family "Bacterial small subunit ribosomal RNA", at positions 366 to 770 of the family's 1533-position model. The record is from RNAcentral.